AGACAGCGUUUCCCAAGAAACUGGGAGAGAGAAGCAGAUGUGGAGGUGAGAGGUCAGAAGACAGAAUGAGUCCCGUUCAGUCCAAGGAGCCUGUGAGACAGUCAGCGAAGAUUCCAAGGAGCAGGAGUCUGGAAUCCUUCAAAGAAUUGUCCAGGGGAUGGUAAGACCAAUGAUUGAUUAGCUUCUUAUCUGUGACAAUCCCCAUCUAACCGUGACCUAAACCCAGAGACCCCUGCCAGCUCAGCAGCUCACAGUUCUGGCAGCCUGACUUGUGGUAGGUUAUGCGGAGAGCAAUAGAAAGAGCUUCUCCUCCCUCAGCUCUACUCAGGAUCUUCUGGGAGUGAUGCAUGUGGCCAUA
Molecule: long non-coding RNA, 358 nt
Filed under: Equus asinus (donkey)
Lineage: Eukaryota; Metazoa; Chordata; Mammalia; Perissodactyla; Equidae
Description: lncRNA (ENSEASG00005035925.1)
Source: RNAcentral